Molecule: ribosomal RNA, 465 nt
Filed under: uncultured bacterium
Lineage: Bacteria
Description: partial 16S ribosomal RNA
Rfam family: Bacterial small subunit ribosomal RNA
Source: RNAcentral
CCUACGGGCGGCAGCAGUGGGGAAUAUUGCGCAAUGGGCGAAAGCCUGACGCAGCGACGCCGCGUGAGGGAUGAAGGUCUUCGGAUCGUAAACCUCUGUCAGCAGGGAAGAACGGUCACUGUGCUAAUCAGCAGUGAAUUGACGGUACCUGCAAAGGAAGCACCGGCUAACUCCGUGCCAGCAGCCGCGGUAAUACGGAGGGUGCGAGCGUUAAUCGGAAUUACUGGGCGUAAAGCGCUCGUAGGCGGUAUGUCAAGUCAAGGGUGAAAUCCCCGGGCUCAACGUGGGAACUGCCUUUGAAACUGGCAAACUGGAGUGUGUGAGAGGAUAGUGGAAUUCGAGGUGUAGGAGUGAAAUGCGUAGAUAUCUGGAGGAACAUCAGUGGCGAAGGCGACUAUCUGGCACAUAACUGACGCUGAGGAGCGAAAGCGUGGGUAGCAAACAGGAUUAGAUACCCGGGUAGUC